RNAcentral lists this small nuclear RNA (98 nucleotides) under Chinchilla lanigera (long-tailed chinchilla). Lineage: Eukaryota; Metazoa; Chordata; Mammalia; Rodentia; Chinchillidae. The record is from RNAcentral.
GUGCUCGCUUCGGCAGCACAUAUACUAAAAUUGGAACGAUCCGGAGAAGAUUAUCACGGCCCCUGCACAAGGAUGUAGAGGUUUCAGUCCCUAAUUGU